UCUCCACCUUCGUCCGCCACCCAAUCCUCUUUGCACCUGAGAAUAUCAUAUCUUUACAAAUUUGGAUUCAUGGACAGAAAUCUCCCUAGAUCUUGACAUCACAAGCUGUGGCCAACAAGAACGAACAAACUGUGAUUAACUCCAAGCACCAAAACAACAAGAACAGAUCACUAUCAGUCAGGAUGGCUCCUGGCUAACCAUAUGGACGAACUGCUGCUUCUCAACUUUAAAACACAGACUUCCACGGAUUUGCCGCUGUUUGUCUGACCAAGACCUGGCUCGGUGGGCACAAAACAGAUGCCAGGCUUCCAGCUGUUUCAUACGGGCUGCAUCGUCGAGCUCUCAGGGCGAACGAGAGAUGGUGAAAUCUGUUUUUACACAAACCCAGAUGGAGUUCUCCUCGUUUGUUUUGGCUGGUGUUUACAUUCCACCACAAGCCUGUACAUCAGAGCCUGAAAAACAGCUCGCUGAACUGAUAGCAGACAUGGAGGAAAAAACAACCAGACUCUCUCAUCAUUGUUCUUGGGGAUUUUAAUAGCGCAAACAUCUACAAUGAACUUUAAAAGAAUACACAGCAUAUCAAGUGUUCCACCUUCAUCUCAUUUCAAACCUUCUCUCCCAUUUCGAACUUCUCUCCAUCCAGGACUUGUACAGGUCUAGGGUCAGGAAAUAGACAGCGAACAUCUCUGCCGACCCCACAAAGCCACGACAUAAGCUGUUUAGUUUUUUUUACCUUCAGGUCAGCGUUACAGCGCACUAUUUGUAAAAACCAGCAGCCACAAAGACAGUUUGUUCCUCCAGGCUGUUUCUCUGAUCAGUCUAUUACUUUUACCAGUUCUCCAGAUAGUCCUGAAUUCUGCCAUAUCCUGCCUAGGGCAGUCAGCUUCCCUUCAUGUUCCAGAUCUCCAUCCUUCAAUUUAUUUAGCUUAAUCUUCUUCCGUUUAUGAUUUUGAACCUUGGAAACUGUUUUUGUAAGUUUCUGGUUGAGUUAUUAAAUAUUUUUAUUUUUUAAUCAA
This is a long non-coding RNA of Girardinichthys multiradiatus, 1016 nucleotides long. RefSeq lists it as uncharacterized. NCBI's taxonomy places the organism in Eukaryota, Metazoa, Chordata, Actinopteri, Cyprinodontiformes, Goodeidae. The record is from RefSeq and is a predicted model, not a curated record. The transcript is spliced from 2 exons.